UUCAUUCUUCAGCAAAAGUUAAAUAGGGCUAUGAGAAUAGUGGAGUGGAAGGAAGCUUAUGACCCAAAUAUUCCUGCCAACUAUGGAGUCAUUCAACACGAACAAGUAGGUCCAUCAGUUGAUCUCAUGGAACAAUCGGGAUUUGAAAAAGAGAAGCAAACCAUACUAGGGGCUGAUGAUGAUGAUGAGGAAGAGUUUGAUGACAUGAAAG
This 211-nucleotide unclassified non-coding RNA is filed under the name Hevea brasiliensis (rubber tree). Lineage: Eukaryota; Viridiplantae; Streptophyta; Magnoliopsida; Malpighiales; Euphorbiaceae. The record is from RNAcentral.